AAAUUUGCGCUUUAGGGAUAUCUGUGAGUGUGCAUAUCUGCAUUGAUGGGAUAAUCACUAAUGGUUCCCCUCAGACAUUAAUUAGGUGAAACACUAACAAGGAAAGAUCGAUGUACCCUUUUGUUACCCCCCCCCAACCCACGCACAACAAACCCCCUUCCAUUUCUCAGAAGCUGUGAAAGGAAUCUGUGGUAGGUUGUCAUGCAUAGCACAUAGCAAGGUGCUAUCUUCUGUUUGUAAGUUUUGUGCGUCUUUGAAGCCAGUUGUUUUUUCAAGUUGUAUGCAUUUUAACAGGUUUAUUUCCUAAGGUUCUUUACGACUGAAAUAAAAUAGUAAAUGUAGAUUCAUCUUGCUAAGGUUCACUUGUUGGAUAUUCCUAUUACUAUUUUUCUGCUGCAUCAUUGGACAAAUUUUUCUUAACUCUCUAUUACCAAGUCCUCUUUCUGUGAUUAAUAAAGCAAUUGAAGAAGAUAGGUUUGAUAUCCCAGACGUUCCUAUGGAGGAGGACUAGAUUUUUGAUCAGCGACCUCUAUGAGUGUAUGUGAUGCUAUAUUAGCAGUUUCCGGAUUCAGUAUGGACAGAGAGAGCUGUGCCACAUGAUACAUGAGCAUUCCUGUGUGGGCUGUUGAAGUUGGGAGUUUUGACUAGAGAUGUUACAAUAUAUUCUUUCAUGAUAUUUAUAAUUUUUGGCCAUGUCUUCAUCAGCUUAUGCCUAAAUAGGUAUAUGCGACGAACCUCGAAAGUGUAAUUGCCUGGGUUUUCAAAUUUUAGUGUACCAUGUAAUAGCCCCGUGACUUUAAAAGUUUGAGAAUCCCAAGUAGAGAUGUGCUCUUUUGGUAAACAGUAGCAAAACAGAUUAAACUUAUAUUUACAAGAAACAAAGCUUAUACAGGAGUUGAAUUAAAUUUAUCCCCUAGGCUUUGCUUUACAA
Non-coding RNA from Nicotiana tabacum (common tobacco), 931 nucleotides. The record is from RefSeq and is a predicted model, not a curated record. NCBI's taxonomy places the organism in Eukaryota, Viridiplantae, Streptophyta, Magnoliopsida, Solanales, Solanaceae.